UAUUUAAGGGCGCGCCCGGCGUGGCCCGGCGUCUAACCCUGAGAUGUGACUCCCGUGGGUCACGUCCUUUCCGGCUCCCGCGCUCGCUGUUUUCCUCGCUGACUUCCAGCGGGCGGGAAAGUCCAGGCCCACGGAGGCUCACCGCGCGCUCCCGAACUGCCACACAAAAAACGUCAGCGCCGGCGCCGUGGCCCGGAGCCCUGCGGCGCCAGGCCGUCCAGCCCCACACCCGCCUGGAGGCCGCGGCCGGCCUGGGGUCUCCGGACCCCGCUGCCGCCGCGAAGAGCUGGGCUCUGUCAGCCGCGGGGCGCCCGGGGCUAGGGCGAGGCCGGGCGAGCGCCGCAGGGACAGGAACGGAGCUGGUUCCCGCCUUCGGUGCUUCCCUGAGCUGUGGGAAGAGCACCCGGAACCCGGUUCCCACAGCC
This 425-nucleotide telomerase RNA is filed under the name Meriones unguiculatus (Mongolian gerbil). RNAcentral's name for it is "Vertebrate telomerase RNA (ENSMUGG00000006987.1)". It matches the Rfam family "Vertebrate telomerase RNA". Rfam says of the family: Telomerase is a ribonucleoprotein reverse transcriptase that synthesises telomeric DNA. Telomerase RNAs differ greatly in sequence and structure between vertebrates, ciliates and yeasts, but they share a 5' pseudoknot structure close to the template sequence. The record is from RNAcentral. Lineage: Eukaryota; Metazoa; Chordata; Mammalia; Rodentia; Muridae.